This 85-nucleotide transfer RNA is filed under the name Caudoviricetes sp. RNAcentral's name for it is "tRNA-Ser". It matches the Rfam family "tRNA". From Rfam's summary of the family: Transfer RNA (tRNA) molecules are approximately 80 nucleotides in length. Their secondary structure includes four short double-helical elements and three loops (D, anti-codon, and T loops). Lineage: Duplodnaviria; Heunggongvirae; Uroviricota; Caudoviricetes. The record is from RNAcentral.
GCAAUCGUCCCAUAAUGGUAUUGGAACUCCCUGCUAAGGAGUCGGUCGUUUCUUCGGCUUACAGGUUCAAUCCCUGUCGAUUGCG